Molecule: unclassified non-coding RNA, 377 nt
Filed under: Hevea brasiliensis (rubber tree)
Lineage: Eukaryota; Viridiplantae; Streptophyta; Magnoliopsida; Malpighiales; Euphorbiaceae
Source: RNAcentral
AAAGAUUACAGAUUCAACAUCAAAAGCAACCAUUUCAUGCUAUUACAAUUUGGAAUUGAAGGGUGGAGGUGAAUGAAUGGGCUAGAGGCAAGAGUCCAUAAAAUAUGGAAAUUGGGCUCACUUUGACUCGGACCAACCAUUGCCAAAAUGUUAGAACUAAUCAAUUUGUUGGCCCUUACACUGGGAAAUUGAACUUGAUAAUGAACUGAAACUAAAACCGGGCCUAACCUGCUCUGAAGCCAUAUUACAAUUUUGAAUUGAAGGGUAGAGGUGAAUGAAUGUGUAGAGGACAAGAGGCAAGAGUCCAUGACGUACAAAGAUUGGGCUUACUUGGACUUGGACAAACCAUAAAGGGUUAGAACUAACCAAUUAGUUAG